GCAGGGUGCGGUGGCAUGCACCUGUGGUCCCAGUUACUUGGGAGGCUGAGGCAGGGGGAUCACUUGAAUCCAGGAGGUCGAGGCUGCAGUGAGCCAUGAUUGUACCACUGCACUCUAGCCUGGGUGACAGAGUGAGACCCUGUCUCAA
This 148-nucleotide small RNA is filed under the name Pongo abelii (Sumatran orangutan). Its description in RNAcentral is "Metazoan signal recognition particle RNA (ENSPPYG00000035584.1)". It matches the Rfam family "Metazoan signal recognition particle RNA". Rfam says of the family: The signal recognition particle (SRP) is a universally conserved ribonucleoprotein. It is involved in the co-translational targeting of proteins to membranes. Lineage: Eukaryota; Metazoa; Chordata; Mammalia; Primates; Hominidae. The record is from Rfam by way of RNAcentral.